GGGCGGUUAGCUCAGUUGGUUAGAGUACUUGCUCGACACGCAAGAGGUCAGUGGUUCGAGUCCACUACCGCCCACCA
This 77-nucleotide transfer RNA is filed under the name SAR202 cluster bacterium Casp-Chloro-G2. RNAcentral's name for it is "tRNA-Val". It matches the Rfam family "tRNA". From Rfam's summary of the family: Transfer RNA (tRNA) molecules are approximately 80 nucleotides in length. Their secondary structure includes four short double-helical elements and three loops (D, anti-codon, and T loops). Lineage: Bacteria; Bacillati; Chloroflexota; Dehalococcoidia. RNAcentral also lists the same sequence under 3 other names. The record is from RNAcentral.